CCUAAUACAUGCAAGUCGAGCGGAACCUUUGGAGCUUGCUCCAUUGGUUUAGCGGCGGACGGGUGAGUAACACGUGGGCAACCUGCCCUGCAGAUCGGGAUAACUCCGGGAAACCGGUGCUAAUACCGAAUAGUUUGUUUCACCGCCUGGUGAAACACGGAAAGACGGUUUCGGCUGUCACUGCAGGAUGGGCCCGCGGCGCAUUAGCUAGUUGGUGGGGUAAUGGCCUACCAAGGCGACGAUGCGUAGCCGACCUGAGAGGGUGAUCGGCCACACUGGGACUGAGACACGGCCCAGACUCCUACGGGAGGCAGCAGUAGGGAAUCUUCCGCAAUGGACGAAAGUCUGACGGAGCAACGCCGCGUGAGUGAUGAAGGUUUUCGGAUCGUAAAACUCUGUUGUUAGGGAAGAACAAGUACCGUUCGAAUAGGGCGGUACCUUGACGGUACCUAACCAGAAAGCCACGGCUAACUACGUGCCAGCAGCCGCGGUAAUACGUAGGUGGCAAGCGUUGUCCGGAAUUAUUGGGCGUAAAGCGCGCGCAGGCGGUUUCUUAAGUCUGAUGUGAAAGCCCCCGGCUCAACCGGGGAGGGUCAUUGGAAACUGGGGAACUUGAGUGCAGAAGAGGAGAGUGGAAUUCCACGUGUAGCGGUGAAAUGCGUAGAGAUGUGGAGGAACACCAGUGGCGAAGGCGACUCUCUGGUUCUGUAACUGACGCUGAGGCGCGAAAG
Molecule: ribosomal RNA, 731 nt
Filed under: uncultured Bacilli bacterium
Lineage: Bacteria; Bacillati; Bacillota; Bacilli
Description: bacterial SSU rRNA
Rfam family: Bacterial small subunit ribosomal RNA
Source: RNAcentral